GGGGAGGUGAAGUGAUUUUUCAAUGCCAGAUCACGUCGCAACUCAGUAUCACUUGCCGAUUGAAGAGUUCUGCCGCCCCUGAAAUAAAGGAAGGCGCGCUCUUAAUCAAGAGAAAUUCGAUGCUGCCUGCAGAACCGUGAAAUUCGUGAAUUUUUAAUUUUUCCGCAAAUUAGUGAAGUUUUCAAUAUUACCCCUCACUCCCCUCCACUCGAAGCCCUCCUACAGUCACGGCUUGUUGACAUGUGAUUUGGCAGCAUUGGCGGCAUCAAGAAGCAAUCUCAUUGGCUAAUCAAAUUAAUUUCAAAAUGGCCGCUGGUGGUAAGUUCUUUGUGUGUGUUUAUUUUUAACUUCAGCCUUGUCGGCUUUUAUGUUUCUCCAAAACGUUCAUUCAUGUUCCUUUCAAAUUUUAAGUUUUCACGAUAUUUUGUUUGAAGUUCAUCUCAUAUUCAUCAUGCCGUGAUUCGGUCGCAGUUUGUGAUCUAUUUCUUCUGCGAUACUUCGGUUCUGUUUGGCGGGGCGCCAUGAUGGUCUGAAGACGUCCUCCGUACUUGUUCGGGCUUAUUUCGUGAAAAUACCGCUGGAUAAGCCCCGCAUUCAUGUCUCCAUUUAUCGGUACAUGAGUAAAACGGACCGAAGAUGAAUAAUCAAGAGCAGCAUCAUCCUGCUCCAAUGAGCUCUGCCUCACAUCCGGAAAGAGGCGAUGUCAACAACCGAGAGGCACAUGCCUCUAAUGUUGUGUCGAACGUUGCUAAGUAUUGGGUCUUGACGAAUCUUUUCCCCAAUCCCAUGGCACAGAUCCCGAUGUCAGGAAACCUGGCCCCUCUAGCCCUUUCAAGCACAACCAUAACAGCAAGUGGAGACUCGGGGACCAGUGAUAGUCACACAACAACUACCCAGAGUAUGAAAGGCAUAAAAGUUUUAAGUAAAUCGGGUUCAAAUUCAUCUCAGCAGAUUGAAAAUUCAGUUCAUUGCCAGCCGACGGUCCAUGAAAUCCCACAAAUGGAUGGUGCCCACGAGCAUCAGCUCAUCAGCGGCCUUACUCCUCAACAGCAUCACCAAUUAGUGCAGCAGGUAUAGACAUUUUAAAACCUAAUUCAUAUAUUCUACUGAUUUUUUCCAGCAUGUUGAAGUCUUUCCUUUCAUGUAAUGUAAAUGAGCAUGAACCAUUUCCAUCUCACUUUAAAAAAAACGCUAAUUAGUCUUACCGCGGGGGGGGGGGGGGGGGGGGGGUUUCCGUGUAUUUUUAUCCUUCCUGCCAAGAUAUAACAAACUCUUGUUUGUUUUUAGAAAUUCACUUUUGAUGAAAUCGCUCUUAAUGUUAUCUUAAAAUUUUGAAGGAGCCCUGAAUUUCAGCCUAGAUGUGUCUCUGAAAGCCUAACAGAGGCCUCUGAGAUUUCUAAAUCCAUUUUGCUUGUUUUCUCAGGCAAACUCUCUGUGGAGCUUCGAAGCCCCCUACUGAGAUGAACCAAGAAUAAUCAAGAAAAAAGGUGUGAGAAGAGAAAAUGGUCCCCAAUUUGGAGCUCCUGUCAGGCCUCCCAUGAGAAGUCGUUUGCUGUCAAUCUUUGUAAAAAUGCCCCAAACUGAGGAAUUUAUGUACAUAGAUAGGAUGUCAGCAUAUAGACGAAUAUGUGGUUGCACCGUUUUUGCAACUUGCAGAUGCCACAUUCAGUGUCUUUACCUAGUGUGACAGCUCUAGACUCUUAAAAUUUUAUAGAACCCUCUCACUUUUAACGCCAUUUAAAUCUCCUGCCAUGAAUUUUAAGGGCAGUUUCAGUAGGAAUUGAUUUAAGAUGAGGAAAAAGUAUACCGUAACACGCAUAACAUGUUGUUGAAGUGAUUAGCUUGGAUGCAUUUCGGGCCCAUCUAAUGAUGCAUCCAAAAUCCAAAUGCGUCCAAGCUAAUAAAUCACUUCAACAACUAUUAUGCGUGUUGCGGUAUACUUUUUCCUCAUCUUUAUCAUAACAGCAAGCAAGAUGCGUUUUUCCAGUUAGGAAUUGAUUCUCAAUCUUUUCGUUUUCUCAGGUUGCUCAGCAUCAGGUUUUGGCAGAACAGCAACAGCCGCCCUCUGGAAAUGAUCAGUCAUCUCAGCAACAACAACAGCAGCAGCAACAACAACAACAACAACAACAACAACAGCAGCAGCAGCAACAGCAGUCUCAGCCUCCUCCACCCCCACCGCCCCCCUCCUCACAGCAAAGUCAACCGAGCAGGUCGCAUUCUUCGUCAGAAGUCAAGAACAGUACAU
Molecule: long non-coding RNA, 2245 nt
Filed under: Bemisia tabaci
Lineage: Eukaryota; Metazoa; Arthropoda; Insecta; Hemiptera; Aleyrodidae
Description: lncRNA ENSASIAIIG008264
Source: RNAcentral